Molecule: long non-coding RNA, 369 nt
Organism: Lingula anatina
Lineage: Eukaryota; Metazoa; Brachiopoda; Lingulata; Lingulida; Lingulidae
Source: RefSeq, a predicted model, not a curated record
GGUGAAGGCCACAAAACAGGUGUCUGACGUUUCAGUUAUCUCCACAAACCGGAAUACUAUUUUGGGUGAGCAAGAUAUGACUGUAAGGUGCUGCCAUCUUUUUUACAAAUCAGUGGAUGGGUGGAUGUCUCUUAAAUGCUGUAGACUGGAAGGAAGACAGAAUUGGCCCAAAUGGGAGUGAUUACAUUGACAGCAAAAAUCUCCAGGUGGCGUCCUUUUUCUUCGUGAGUCGUCUUAGCCUCAGUGGUCAGGUGUACUGGGUCAUACCUUAGGGAGACAUUGGGCGAGAAUUUGGUAAAAGGAGAAUAUCAGAAAACCUAGGAUCCUCAUUAAUGUGCGAAGUUCAAGAGAUUACUCAGGUAAGCAAGA